RNAcentral lists this small nuclear RNA (92 nucleotides) under Cavia porcellus (domestic guinea pig). Lineage: Eukaryota; Metazoa; Chordata; Mammalia; Rodentia; Caviidae. The record is from RNAcentral.
GUUACACAUAUACUAAAAUUGGAACGAUACAGAGAUUAGCAUGGCCCCUGUGCAAGGAUGACAUACAAAUUCAUGAAGCGUUCCAUAUUUUU